RNAcentral lists this ribosomal RNA (253 nucleotides) under uncultured bacterium. RNAcentral describes it as "partial 16S ribosomal RNA". It matches the Rfam family "Bacterial small subunit ribosomal RNA", at positions 524 to 776 of the family's 1533-position model. The record is from RNAcentral.
UACGGGGGGGGUAAGCGUUGUUCGGAAUUACUGGGCGUAAAGGGCUCGUAGGCGGCCAACUAAGUCAUACGUGAAAUCCCUCAGCUUAACUGGGGAACUGCGUGUGAUACUGGAUGGCUUGGAUUUGGGAGAGGGAUGCGGAAUUCCAGGUGUAGCGGUGAAAUGCGCAGAUAUCAGGAGGAACACCGGUGGCGAAGGCGGGUCUCUGGGCAGUAACUGACGCUGAGGAGCGAAAGCGUGGGGAGCGAACAGG